CAGCCGCCACGGGAAUACGAAGGGUGCAAGCGUUACUCGGAAUUACUGGGCGUAAAGGGCGCGUAGGCGGCACGAUUAGUCAGGCGUGAAAUUCCUGGGCUCAACCUGGGGACUGCGCUUGAUACGGUCGAGCUAGAGGAUGGAAGAGGGUCGUGGAAUUCCCAGUGUAGAGGUGAAAUUCGUAGAUAUUGGGAAGAACACCGGUGGCGAAGGCGGCGACCUGGUCCAUUACUGACGCUGAGGCGCGACAGCGUGGGGAGCAAACAGGAUUAGAUACCCCAGUAGUCCCUGUCUCUUAUAC
Molecule: ribosomal RNA, 301 nt
Filed under: uncultured bacterium
Lineage: Bacteria
Description: partial 16S ribosomal RNA
Rfam family: Bacterial small subunit ribosomal RNA
Source: RNAcentral